Molecule: long non-coding RNA, 1610 nt
Filed under: Zea mays
Lineage: Eukaryota; Viridiplantae; Streptophyta; Magnoliopsida; Poales; Poaceae
Description: long non-coding RNA (ZMAY_LNC002190)
Source: RNAcentral
GAGUAGUAGUGCAGGGCCUCCAAAAACCUUCAUGGAAUAUAACAACGAGAGUGAAAGACGAUUAUCAGUACUUCAUCAUCAAAUCAAAGGUAAUUAAUUCAUUGAUGAAUUAUUGACACGCAAUUAAACGAUUUAUGGCUACUUUGGCCAGCGCCAACAAGGCCAUCUUGGCAAGAUCGCAAACGAUCUCGCGUACCACUUACCUGCCCAGGAAGUAGGGGCCGUUGUGGCCGGCCUCCUGCUCGACGAGCGUCAUGAUCUUGGGCGCCUGGUCGCGGAUCAUGGAGAGCAGCGGGCCGAGGUGCACGGCGGGGACGCGGUGCAGCCUGUUGACGGCGUUGACGGCGAGCGCCUCGCCGACGCGGCGGUGCAGCGCGGCGGGGCGCAGGCGCUCGAGCCUGUCGGCGACGGCGGCGUGGAACUCGAACGGCACGCGCAGCGACGCGGCGAGGGAGGCGAGGUGGCGCCCGGUCUCCCUGACGGCGGCCGCGGGGUGCCCGACGCCGGUGAGCCGCAGCGUCGGCGGGCCCCCCGGGCGCGCGGCCAGCGCCUGCAGGAACGCCGGCCACUGGUAGCCCUGCAGGAUGUCGAGGUCGACGACGUGGACGCGGUCCUCGCCGUGGAAGGCCUCGAAGAUGGCCUGGUUGGCGGUGAAGUGCGCGAACUUGAUGUAGGGGCAGGCCUGGUACAGGAUCUGGUACACCUUGAGCGUGUCCGGCGACGGGGGGAACGUGUAGGGCGCGACGCCGGCGCCGGCGCCGGCGCCGGCGGAGGAGGACGGGUUGUUGGAGGAGAGGCGGGCGGCUAGGGCGUCGGCGAAGUAGGAGGCGACGCGCUGCAUGGAGUCGCCCAGCGGGGAGGCGACGCGGCGGAGGAGGUGCAGGUGGCGCAGCGCCGACGGCUGGUCCCCCUUGGAGACGAAGUCGGCGCACGCCAGCAGCAGGUGCACCAGCUGAAGGCCGCUGUCCUGCUCCUGCAUGCAUCAUGAGUGGAGUACGUUAAUAACUGCGCAUCAAAUUUGGACAUCACACAAGAACUCUAAACUUGAUCACAAAAUAAUAAUUCGCAAAAAGAAAUGCUCACGAAAUAUAACUGAAAUACUCAAAUUGUACUAGUCAACGCCAAUUGCCGUCGCCGUCGCCGUCGCGUACGUAGACGACACGUGUUCAUGAGAAGCAACACGGUGGUUUUGGACUGCGCUAUUGUCACGUACGCACGUUCCGAUAUUAACGAGGACCCAAAAAUAUCAUCGCAUGCAGGGCUCUCUGCGCAGAUUCCAACUAGAAGCAUCAAGGCCGAGCUAUAGCUUCAGACAAACAACAAGAUAUACGUACGGAUGCAUCGUCUUUCCUCUGGCUAGCUAGCUUCUACCGCCGUUUGCAUGGCAUGGCACUGUGACCAUUUGGCCAAUCCAGGAAGAAGCCUGAUGCCAUGUUUUUAUUUUAUUUUAUUUUAUUUUCUAUGCAUAAUAAGGAACUCAAGGAAACAUGCCAUGUUUGGUACUUUGAUAUGCAUGUCAAGUUCUUCCAACACAAGUAGCGUUUGCAUGCAUGCGUGCGUAUGUAUAUAUGGUUAUUCAACGUGGGUUAGAUAUGGUAAAUAAAUAAAUU